Phalacrocorax carbo (great cormorant) is the source of this 2828-nucleotide non-coding RNA. NCBI's taxonomy places the organism in Eukaryota, Metazoa, Chordata, Aves, Suliformes, Phalacrocoracidae. The record is from RefSeq and is a predicted model, not a curated record.
GAAAAUGAAACAUUAACUGGUAAUAAGUGAUAAGUGGGGACAAAAAAAGGGCAGAGGGGCUGAAAAGGCAGAAGCCAUUUAUAAUUAAAAUCUUUUCUCCAGCUCCCUGCAGCUCCCUUCCUGGCAUGAACGCCAGUUUCCAUGCUGCCCUGCGCAGGACAGGUCGACACAGGUGCAAAGGGCUGCAGUGGUCCCCACGCUCACUGUUCUCUGGACACCUUCACGUCUGCCUCCCUCUGGGCCUUCUGUCCUUGAAACUCACGCCUCUGAUGAUUUCCACCCCAAACAGUCUGCUAGGGAGGGUGCAACACUGCCUCAGCAUCUCAGUUAUGGAUACACUGUGUGCUGAGUCACCACAUUGGCUUACAGCUUACAACUUGGAAGGAUUCAUAACACAGACAGAAAAAAUGUAAUUACAUUUUUGCUGCUCAGGAAGAUUUCUAAACCUUUCUAAAGUAGACAGUUUUGCUAUAUGUGUUGCCUACGAGAAGGCUGCUGCUGCCUGUGGUACUGACUGUCAUGGAAACCUGCAGUAUGGAAUAAUGGAAAAGGAUGGCAUUCCUGCUGCUGUCAGAGAAACAGAUGCCAGAGGCUUACUGGAGCUGAUAUUUCCUACAUCCUCCCCACUGAGAGCCACAGCUGUGUUAUCAGUCUCGGUAGUUAGUUCCUAGUUCCAACACACAUAGUUAAAAAUUGGUGUGUUCUUUCCAGCACACUCAACAAUGUAGUAUAAAGAGUAGCAGAAGAGCUGCAAGCAGGAAAACAGCUAUACCUGCCCUGUUAUAAACUCCACUAAGGCCUUCUCACAUGCAUCAGGAGUUACUCCACCAACAUCAGUGAAACUAAACUGGCAUUAGCACCGAUGUGAAUGAGAAGAUCACUAUGAGUCACACAGUAUUUAUUAAUUGUGGAACAUUAUGGACAGUGAUUUAAUAUGUGUUUUCCAAUUAAUUUCCUCAGACAAUCAAGUAUAUAAGAAAAAUUUGUCCUCUUAACCCACUUCUCUAUCCCAAUCUAUUUUACCACUUCAUUUGAAUUUGGAUGGCAUAAAUUGGAAUUCUUUUCAGUGUGUUAAGGGUUUUAUAGCAUUGAUUUUGGCAUUGUUUUUUCAGAUUAGAGAAAAUCCUAUUAAUGCAUCUUCACAAAUUGGCGCUUGUCAAAUUUAUCUUGCUCAACACAAGACGUGCUAACAAAACUAUUCUUAGAAGUGACACAAAUCAACUCAGGACUGUGUUGGCUAUUCUAUAAAUUUGCAAGUUGAGAUGAGUGUAUUGUCUCCAAAAAGUCCUUCAAGCCAAACAAAUCUUGAUGUCAAACUGUCAGACAAUGAAUUGUUUACAUAAUCCUUGCAAUGAUAGGUUAUCUGUUAAUGAUUUCUUUAUCCUUACUAAGAAUGAUCUUCCUCACUCAUCCUGUCCUCGUUGACUCCAAAGGUCUAAUUUCUUCAAUUUUAUAGAAAAUAGGUCCUUCAAUCUCUGUUACUUAAAAUAAUGUGAAGUCAAAUAGAAAUAAAAUAUAUCUUUCUGAAUCAACAGCAUAAAUUGUACAUCUCUAUUAAAUAUCACAAUGAAUAUAUGGACUAAGCAUGGGAUGAAGCAUUUCCACUUAAAAUUUCCACUUUAAAAAGAUACAGACAAUGCUGUCUGAAAAGUGCCAGUAAAACGAGGAAAAAAGAGUAGCAGCUGAAUUUUUAUUUCAAAAACACUGAGACGUGGACAGUGCUUUUUUUUUGUAAAGGAUCUAAUUCUAGCUUUGCUAUAUCAUCAUGACUAGACUGUUUCAGAAUUAGGUUUUUAAUUAACGUAAUGCUGCUGUGAUCAGUCAUGUCCCUUGCAUUUCCCCAAGUAGGUACUCUUUCCCAACCCAGUCAUGGACUCGGUGCACUUGACAGAAGAUAUACAGUACAAUCCUGUUUUCUUUCUUUUUUUUUUUAUUAAUCAUCACGUAGCUUGCAUGAGUCAACCCAAUGUUUUUUCUUCCCUGAAGUUUUCAUUAAGUAAUCAAAUAUUUCCUGGUCAGGAUCAGCCUGAGGUAGGAAGAACUGUAUGUUCUUUCUGGGAGCUUUUCCUGACAGAAAAAUGCAAGUUUAUUUUUGAAGAUGGAGUUGGUAUCAGACUUGGGGCUGAUUGACCAGCAGGAAAGAGGGAAUGGGGAGAGGCUAAAUGCUGUCUCUCUCUCCCUCUGUUCACUUUCACCUGCUUCCUUAUCACUCGGUACCCUGCUUGGUCCUGGCCAAGAGCAGAGGUGCAAGAACUUCUCAUUAACAUUGGGGCUGCAUCCAGCCCCAGCAGCUGAGACCUGUCCUCUAAAAACCAGCACCAGAGCAAGGAGAUUGUUCAGUCCUUUCUUAACUUGCCAGCAGGACCCACUGGUGUAGGCAGGUGGCACGGGUAGAGUGAGCCAAAUGAAGUACUGGGCUGCAGAUACAGGAUCUUCUGAGAUGUAACAGUUCUGUGAGUAAUGCUUUUAUAUUUGUCAAAGCAGCAGCUGUGAACAACUUCUGAGUCAGAAGGACAGUAAAGAAAUAGGAAAUCAAAGUCCGUCUUCAUCAAAGCAAUACCUUCAAAUUCAGAGGAUUAGUCACAGAGCUUACCACGUAAGGCAUGGCACAAAUUCUCCAGAUGCCAGAGAGGUACGUCCUACUUCUGAUUCACCACCCUGCCAGUUAGGCCGUUUGUGUUUUUUUUUUCCCCUUUCCAAAACUUGAAGAAUCUCUCACAGCUUUUGCUCUCACAGCUUCUGAACCUCUGUGAGGCCAUGCCCACAAAUGCCACUUCCUCCCCGAGAGGAGAAACUUGCUAUCACACUGGCCUCUGCCCCUGCACAAA